GCACCACUAGCUCAGUUGGUAGAGCACCUGACUCUUAAUCAGGGUGUCCAGGGUUCGAGCCCCUGGUGGUGCA
Molecule: transfer RNA, 73 nt
Filed under: Lachnospiraceae bacterium
Lineage: Bacteria; Bacillati; Bacillota; Clostridia; Lachnospirales; Lachnospiraceae
Also listed under: 2 other names
Description: tRNA-Lys
Rfam family: tRNA
About the family: Transfer RNA (tRNA) molecules are approximately 80 nucleotides in length. Their secondary structure includes four short double-helical elements and three loops (D, anti-codon, and T loops).
Source: RNAcentral